This is an RNA transcript of Tympanuchus pallidicinctus (lesser prairie-chicken), 6154 nucleotides long. It is a transcript of the gene named aminocarboxymuconate semialdehyde decarboxylase, with no coding region annotated. The record is from RefSeq and is a predicted model, not a curated record. The transcript is spliced from 10 exons. Lineage: Eukaryota; Metazoa; Chordata; Aves; Galliformes; Phasianidae.
CUGAGCAGCAGCUGAAGUUAAUAAGCUGCCGAACCAGGGGCAAAGAGGAUAGUGGCAAUUACACAGCAAACUGUGAAACAGUGUUUCUCCUUUGAUACUUUCAAAAUGAAAAUUGAUAUUCAUAGCCACAUUCUACCUAAGGAAUGGCCUGACCUGAAAAAGAGAUAUGGCUAUGGUGGAUGGGUACAGCUGGAUCAUCACUGCAAGGGACAGGCAAAGAUGAUGAAGGAUGGAAAGAUCUUUAGAGUUAUUCAAGAGAACUGCUGGGAUCCAGUAGUGCGGAUUAAAGAGAUGAACCUAUCAGGAGUUACAGUCCAAGUCCUUUCCACUGUCCCUGUGAUGUUCAGUUACUGGGCGAAACCUCAGGAUACUUUAGAUCUAUCCCAGAUGUUGAAUAAUGACUUAGCUGAUACAGUAAGAAAGUACCCCAAGAGGUUCAUAGGCUUGGGUACGUUACCUCUGCAAGCUCCAGACCUGGCUGUGAGGGAAAUGCAUCGGUGUGUGAAGGAACUUGGAUUUCCAGGAGUACAAAUAGGAUCUCAUGUCAAUGAGUGGGACCUGAAUGCACCAGAACUCUAUGAUAUUUAUGCUGCCGCUGAACAACUAAAUUGCUGCCUUUUUGUACACCCCUGGGACAUGCAGCAGGACGGAAGGAUGUCCAAAUACUGGUUUCCUUGGCUGAUAGGUAUGCCAGCAGAAACAACCAUGGCCAUUUGCUCCAUGAUUAUGGGAGGAAUUUUUGAAAGAUUUCCGAAGCUGAAAGUUUGCUUUGCACAUGGAGGAGGUACUUUUCCAUACACAGUAGGGCGAAUCUCCCAUGGAUUCAACAUGCGCCCCGAUCUGUGUGCCAUGGAUAAUAAGGUGGAUCCAAGAAAAUACCUCGGUUCAUUUUACACAGACUCUCUAGUCCACGAUCGUGGUGCACUAAGGCUCCUAACAAGUGCAAUAGGAGAGAAAAUGUGGAAGACAGAAUAAUGGAUACCUACAAAUCAGCAAGAAGCUUAUAGUUGUGUCUUAUUCUCCAGAGCUCACCAGACAACAAAAACAGAAAUACAAACUCUUGACAUUAGCUAUCUUGUCAACAACUGCAUUCCUCUUUCCUGAACAUUACUUUGUAGGCUCACAUAGUAUUUUCUUGGGUAUGAGGCUGCUGUCAUCAGUGGCUCUUGUAGGACCAAAGUUCAAAAAACAACUAAGCCAGGUGUUUUCUUUCUUCUAAAGAAAAGUCACUACUGGUUUUCCAUAUUCAUCUCUAACACUGUGAGCAGGCUGCUGAAAUAAUUCUGUACUAGAAGUCAUACGACAAUGACUUGCCUAGGCCAAAACAUAAUAAAGCAGAAUAAACAAUUGCUUUUCUGUACUUUAGAACUCUGAGCCCAAAUCUCUUCCAUUUGGAAUCAAUAGGUUUUCAGUCUGUUCACUGUGGUUUUUAAAUUGGAAUUCUGCCUGCAGCUUCCCUGCAGUACUUUUGCUUUUUAGGAAAACUACAUUUGAAAAUUCAUGAAAAAUUCAACACUGACAGCACAUCUACAGCCUGAAACAAUAGUGUGGGAAGUUUUGCAAAGUGUAUGUACACGCUAUAUGUAUAUACACAUGCAGUAACACUACAGCUAUAAGGAAAAGAGGGAGAACAUCUAUUUCUUAAAUCCAUCAUGGAUCAAAAAUGAAUUUGGAGGAGGGCCCCACAAAACGUCUGAAGAAACUAUAUCACAGCCUUAGUUACUUUAGAAGCAAGUGAAACAAAGCCCACUCAGUUUACUUGUCAAAAGAUCUGCUAAUAAGCUGUCUGUACUGGAAAGUUCUUGGAACAUCAGUGGCUAUUAACUCAGGUGGCAUUUGCCAAGUUCUACCCAGACACAUUCUGAUAGUGAUAGGACACGGGAAUGGUCUUACACUGAAAGAGGGGAGAUUUAGAUUUGAUAUUAAGAGGAAAUUCUUUACUUAGAGAGUUGUGUGGCCCAGGCACAGCUGCACAGAGAGCUGUGGAUGCCCCAUCCCUGGGGCAUCAAGGCCAGGCUGGGUAGGGCCCUGAGCAGCCUGAUCUGGUAGGAGGCAACCCUGCACACAGCACAGGGUUGGAACUGCAUGAUCUUUAAGGUCCUUUCCCGUCCAAGCCACUCUGAUUUUAUGAUUCUAUGACACUAUUGCAAAGGUGAAGUGGGUAUGAUCAAGCUGAACAGGAAUGGAAAGAUGUAAGGGAUCUCUUAUUUUGUAUUCCCCACCAGACAGUUGUAGCAACAUCUGUAGCCCACUAAUUGGGUGAACGUGAUGAAUUAAUGGGCCAAGAAAGCUUCAUGUUCUCAUACUGAGAGGACGUGCUAUGCAGCGCACGCCCCCAGUAUCUGUUUCUGAUUUAGGAAGCAGUCUUGUUUUGUUCAAUGAAAUGACUGCAGUUUCAUGACAUGCAGCUUUCUUUGCCUGUGCUUGGGUGACCAAUUGAUACCUUAAACAAAGAUUAAAUCUCUGCCUUCUCAGUGUCCUCAUGUGCAGUGUCUCCUUCACAGAACCACGUAUUUUAUGUCAAUUUUUCACAUGAAUGAGCACACACAGCAUACAAAUAUCUGAACACAACACAUGCAACCAUCUGUCUUUGGAGGGAAGAAGACUUGGUUGGUACGUACGACUGCAAGUCAUACAAUCUUUGACAUGACUAUAUUUCAGUUGGCCAUGUGCAUGUGCUGAUAAUAUAAUUAGCCAUGCCUGUUUUACUUUAUUUCAAACUUUUCCUGCUCAAAAGAUUUCAUAUCCAGAAUAGAAAAAAAAAUUAGGCUGCCAAGAAGAUGCACUUGUUAGAGAUAGUAAUGUAUUUAUGGAAAAUAUCAUCAUUACAAUGAAACUACUUAUGAAGCAAGAUUUCAUUCCAAGUAACUGAGUAGUUUAAUUAGAAUGAAAUUUCCUUUUUCCUUACAGUGAAACAGAACAAGAGUUAUUUGUAUGCAAACAGCAGAUUUCACUUCUUGUUGCAACCAGGCUGAAAAGCCAUGAAUCAGAUCCCCAAAAUCUGAAUGCUUUUAACAAUUAGGAGAACUUGGAAAGCAGCACAUUUUCUUUCUCCUUUUCAUAGCCCACAGCACCUUAUUCCUGAAGAAACAUCCACAUCGCAUUUUCAACCUCACUUUAUUACUAUGAAAAUUUCUAAAUCCCUCUUUUUCCCAUUAAACUUGAUAUUCUCACAUAACACCAUUUCAAGAGUCACUAACACAUGAAAUAUUAGCAGAAUAACAAGUGUAAGAUAGAUAAAUUCUGGGCUAAAAACAAUGUGAUCGGGUCUCACACAUACUGUGACUUCAUGAGCUGAAGGUCUGAAAUAGGACAGCUCUCUGGAGCACAGCUAAGAGCUGUGCAGGCAGGGCAGAGGUGUGUGCACAGAUCUGCACACAGUGCCUUCAGGGCCUUAGGGAACAGCCAUUACCUGGCAUCAGAACGUCAUGUGGGCCUUCAGGUUAAGAAUAUUAAAACCCAGCUACAGCUCGGAGUCGUGUGUGCUUAAUCUCACCCAUUCUUAUUUUGGGGUACAGGCUAAUUUGACACUUGCCCAUUAAGGAAGCCAAAAUAAACAUUUCUGAGAAGUCAUUUUGUAAAACUGCAGAAUUACUUCCCAUGAUGAAGCAGCACGAAUAUAGCUGAACAAAAAUUCCCCAGUGGUACUGGGUAUAAAAAGUAAAGAACCGAGUUGACAGACAAUUAAAUGAUUCAGCUUCUCUCUGCAGAAAUUUCCCCAUGGUGAUUCCUUAAGAGCCAUCACCAGAAGGUAAAAAACAAUUUCAGACCAGAAGUUGGAGCUGAACUGGCUCUACCAAUCUGGUCUCUUCUGCAGAUAUAUCCUGACAGCAGGAGAGAAGCAAAUACAAUUUUUCACUAAGGGGAAGGACCCAAAGACUCUGAGAUUCAUUUUAAGAUUCUGUACUACUGUGAAAAAGCUGUUGGGUAUAAGGGCUCGUUGAGGUUAAUCAUAGCCAUGUUCACCUUCCUAAAAAUGAGAUGCUUUAUUGAGGUACUGGGCCUUAAGGUCUUCUAUGGAAAAUGAACUUUACUGAUAUCCUUUGGCAUAACAUGAUAAUAGAUAACUACUAUCUAUCUAUUAUUAGCAUAGCUAACACGCUAGGAGUGUUGCUCAUCUGCAGAGACUUAGAGGACUUCUCUAAGGCCAGCUGGAUAAAGACAAGGAUUGCAAUUCUCAUUUCUAUAGGUGGGUACAAACUGAUGCUCAGAUUAUAAAGGGCCUAAUAAAUAGCAGCAAUAAUGCUGCUUCUAGGUUUUCUCAUUAUUUGACAGCUCUUAAUUUUGCUGCCUACGAAUAGACCGCAUUAUUAGCCGUGAAACACUUUAAACUAGAGGAAAAAGGAAAAAAUGACUAAAGUAACAUAUGCAGAUUGUGCCAAUGAGGGGGUGGGAUCUCUGUCUUUGAACCUUAGACAAGAAUUUACAAGCCUUUCCAGCCUAUUUAAUCUUAACUAUUAAGCAUCUGGGAAGGUAUUGGGUUUUCUUCUCCUUUACUAAGAAAUCCAUUGUCUAUUAUAAAGCUGUAAUGCUUAUUGAUUUGGUUUGGUUUUGAACGAUGGCAUACGUUGGUAUUUCAAAUGUUCAGGAAAUACCCCGGUGUCCAACUGAACAUUGUAAAUAAAAGGUAUUUAGCUGUUCAACUGUACACACAUCCAAAUACAUUUCAUGUAAUCUGCACUCAGUCUGAUGCAGAAGACAGAGGGCCAUAAACCCCCCGUUCUAAUCUGAUGGCGACACUUUUGUAAUAAAGUAUAAUACAACCACAUAGAACAGAACAAUAGAAUUCGUGUCUACAUUGAGCAUCGCCUAGGUUUUGUGGGGGGGUUUCGGGUGACAUCUACUGGAGAUCAAGUAAAUAGCUAGCAAUUGUCAAAAUUAGUUACUACAAUAACUGAAAUAAGUCUUCUUUCAGCAAUAGUAACUGAGUUCACAUACUGCCGUGAGCCCCUCAUAAUUCAUGAGUUUGACUUCAAAUUCAUGAGACAUUUCAAAACAGAUAUUUUUAAUGAAAAACGUGGCUUUCAAAUAUUCACGUUGGCAGGAGAUGAAGCUUAAAAGCAAACAGAGUUCUGAUAAGAUGAAGUGAGGUGGCAAUGUUCACUCCCUAGAGCAGAUGAUAUGAGGAAAAAUCAAUGCAAAGUGGAGCUGAACAUAUCACAAUGUGGAUCCACUGGGGCUCUGUCUAUUUAUUUUCAUCUCUGAUACCAGCAACGAUGCAUGCAGAUUUUUACUCAAUUUUCUUUUCUCCGACUGCUUCUUUCAGAAAUAAAUGAAAUCAUGUCACUCAUAUUCCCAUACAUAUGUUUCAUAUCCAGUUGUAGCCAAAGGCCACGACACUUAAAAAAACAGAGACUUCUGAAAAAUGUAUAUGAAAUUGGUAAAUGAGAUUUUGGUUUCACUAGCUGGAGCUGAAUGCCAAUUAAAUCUAUGCUUUUAAAAUUUAUAUGUUUGUAGUAAUUCUCCAUUUUACUACAAUUUAGGGAACAUCACAUUGCAAUUAUUACCCCUUUGGAAAUAUUACGGAAAAGAUCAUUUUAAACGGUAUUUUUUAUUACACGUCCUUCUCAAAUAUAAAUGUAUGUUUGCGUGAGCGCGUGCGUUCAGCUACAUGUGUCCUUCAGAAUUUCAGAUUCAAGAAUCCAAAUCCAAGCAUCUUUUUAGUGUUUGGUAAAGAGCUUUCCUGGGACACUCGCAGAAAUCUGCCAGAAGCUUUCAUGGUCCUUUCGGACUAUGAAACAAACAACAGUUUAUUUCAAAUUUAAAUUCACCAACAAACUCGAGUCUUUGUUUUGUAGCUCUGGGUUUGUUUCUGGAAUCCAGGGACUACCUUUGCAUUCACUUUCAUCAGUCACCAGCUCCUUACGUGUUCUUAUCUGUAUUUCCCUGUGAUUUAUUACACAUUCCAGAAAGCACCUACAACUGUGUUGUUUCCUGCUACUUCAAAACAUACCAUGUGUUUCUUUAUUACCAGGACAGAGUUAUUUUAGGGACAGAUUACCCUUUUCCACUGGGGGAACUCGAACCUGGAAAACUGAUUGAUUCAAUGGACGAUUUUGACAAUAAACUGAAGGAUAAGCUCAAGGCCGGCAACGCUCUGGAAUUUUUGGGUCUUAGCAGAAAGCAAUUUGAAUAAAGCCGAAGAUCCCGCAGA